RNAcentral lists this transfer RNA (86 nucleotides) under Xanthomonas phage RiverRider. RNAcentral's name for it is "tRNA-Ser". It matches the Rfam family "tRNA". From Rfam's summary of the family: Transfer RNA (tRNA) molecules are approximately 80 nucleotides in length. Their secondary structure includes four short double-helical elements and three loops (D, anti-codon, and T loops). Lineage: Duplodnaviria; Heunggongvirae; Uroviricota; Caudoviricetes; Schitoviridae. The record is from RNAcentral.
GGGUUGUUCCGCCGUAUGGACGGCAAGCGGUCUUGAACACCGUGGCAUCCGAAAGGUUGAGGGUUCGAUUCCUUAACAACCCGCCA